RNAcentral lists this ribosomal RNA (253 nucleotides) under uncultured bacterium. RNAcentral's name for it is "partial 16S ribosomal RNA". It matches the Rfam family "Bacterial small subunit ribosomal RNA", at positions 524 to 776 of the family's 1533-position model. The record is from RNAcentral.
UACAGAGGUCUCGAGCGUUAGGCGGAAUCACUGGGCUUAAAGCGUGUGUAGGUGGAUGCCUAAGUACCUUGUGAAAUCCCACGGCUUAACCGUGGAACUGCUUGGUAUACUGGGUGUCUUGAGUCACUCAGGGGCGAGCGGAACAAAUGGUGGAGCGGUGAAAUGCGUAGAUAUCAUGUGGAACGCCAACGGUGAAAACAGCUCGCUGGGGGUGCACUGACACUGAGACACGAAAGCCAGGGGAGCGAACGGG